AAUUUCAAAACAACAUUAAUAAACACAAUAAAUUCCUUUUUUUCGAAACACAAUAAAGACACAGACGCUCAUAUAAACGCACGUACGCUUACCCUUAUGAACACACGCACAUCAUACUCUUACCUCUAUUUCUGUGAGUAUCUUCGAAGAUUGGACCCGUAUAUCUUGAGAUUUACAAAUAAACCGAAUUAAUCACCGAAUUAAUUAAUUAAGGAAGCUUCCCCCAACUUUAUGGAUGAAAAAGGCAAAUGUUUGGCCAAAAAUAGAGGAGUACAUAUCGGUGCUUUACUGCAGCGCGUUGCGGCGCCUUAACUUGGCGGUCACGAUUAAUCCGAGGGAUUAGCCGGUAGAUAAGCGUAACUUUCACGGAGUUAAAGUGUUAAACAACGAUCCGGUGCAAUGUAUGUGUAAACUUAAAGGCGAAUCCUCCACGCGACCCAGCUGAUGCGAUGCCAAAUUGCCAUUGCUUGUCGACGAACAGUGUAGUUCGCCUUUCUCCUACCUUGUGUGUUUCUGUUCUAAGCAAAGCUAGCCUCGCCGAGUUGUCACUGCGAACUCCGGCGAAGACCGGCCGCCGCCGGUGGGUUCUAUGAUUGGAUGGGGAUCGACGUCAAUGGCAUUAUGGUGGCCGGCGGCCGGAGAGGCCGUUGUGAUAUCUUGUCUGAAUCCGGCGUCUCGCUUUGAUCAUACUAGCUACUCUGAUCCGAUGAUCGGUAGCUCCUGUCUUCUUUGACAUAUGGUGCAUCUAUCCUUUCAUUUUUCAGCGUAAUUUCGAUCACAAUCCUCCUUCCAGUUUCCAAGGAUGAAAUCUUGUUUGAAACUCUGGACCGGAAUCUCUGAAAUUCCUGAAAUGUUGACAAAUGUGAACUUUGGUAGCUUUAUAUCGGUCAGACACUUUAGAGAAAUCCUCUGCUUUUCUUUAGUUUUCUCAAAAGCUUUUCAUUCGCUUGCGAUUUUCUCGAUUACAUAAAGGACGUACAUGCACACAUUCUCCCUUCCUUGUUCCUGGAUAUAAUUAUGCAUUAAAUUUUUAGAUAAUAAAAAUAAUUUAUACUUCUGGUUUCUACACAUCCAUAAAUUUAUUCAACAAAAUAAAAAAAUAUAUGGUGAUGGGACAAACCCCAAACUCUCCCUUAUAUUGACUAGUGAAACAAACAUAAUUUUUAGAGGAUUUUUACAGUACAUUCUACUUGAAAUAAGUAUAUACUUAUCACGGGCUAAAAACCAUAUGUUCAUACUGUUACAAAACAUGAAACAUGUAUAUGAAGUACAAAUUUUUCAAGGGAAAAACUAAUGCCACUUGAUAAAUUAUUCUACGUCGCAGAGGAAUCCAGAUUGAUCUAGCUAGAAACAAAGGAAGGAAGGAACCAAACGAACCGUCGAUGAUCGCUGUCUAUCCUGGUGACGUCCAAGAUAGCAUAACAUAGGUCAGAGGGAGAUGGGCAAAAUAAAAUAUGCAGAAGAAGAGGGAGAAAAGAGAGAAAUGGAACAUCACUCAGGAUAGAUGGUUAAGGGAGUGACAGGUUACACAAAACCUUUUCCAGUUUUGGACUCAUCUUCCUGAUACGGUGAAGAUUCUCCCCCCUAAUAUCUCUUCCUGUUCUGCUGACAGAAAUGAGAGGAGGAGAAAGAUUAAUAGAGUGGAAU
Molecule: long non-coding RNA, 1647 nt
Filed under: Oryza sativa (Asian cultivated rice)
Lineage: Eukaryota; Viridiplantae; Streptophyta; Magnoliopsida; Poales; Poaceae
Description: long non-coding RNA (OSAT_LNC001203)
Source: RNAcentral